AGAGUUUGAUCAUGGCUCAGAGCGAACGCUGGCGGCAGGCUUAACACAUGCAAGUCGAGCGGGCGUAGCAAUACGUCAGCGGCAGACGGGUGAGUAACGCGUGGGAACGUACCUUUUGGUUCGGAACAACCCAGGGAAACUUGGGCUAAUACCGGAUAAGCCCUUACGGGGAAAGAUUUAUCGCCGAAAGAUCGGCCCGCGUCUGAUUAGCUAGUUGGUGAGGUAACGGCUCACCAAGGCGACGAUCAGUAGCUGGUCUGAGAGGAUGAUCAGCCACAUUGGGACUGAGACACGGCCCAAACUCCUACGGGAGGCAGCAGUGGGGAAUAUUGGACAAUGGGCGCAAGCCUGAUCCAGCCAUGCCGCGUGAGUGAUGAAGGCCCUAGGGUUGUAAAGCUCUUUUGUGCGGGAAGAUAAUGACGGUACCGCAAGAAUAAGCCCCGGCUAACUUCGUGCCAGCAGCCGCGGUAAUACGAAGGGGGCUAGCGUUGCUCGGAAUCACUGGGCGUAAAGGGUGCGUAGGCGGGUCUUUAAGUCAGGGGUGAAAUCCCGGGGCUCAACCUCGGAAUUGCCUUUGAUACUGUCUAUCUUCGAGUUCGGGAGAGGUUGGCGGAAUUCCUAGUGUAGAGGUGAAAUUCGUAGAUAUUAGGAAGAACACCAGUGGCGAAGGCGGCCAACUGGCCCGAUACUGACGCUCAUGUACGAAAGCGUGGGGAGCAAACAGGAUUAGAUACCCUAGUAGUCC
Molecule: ribosomal RNA, 745 nt
Filed under: uncultured bacterium
Lineage: Bacteria
Description: bacterial SSU rRNA
Rfam family: Bacterial small subunit ribosomal RNA
Source: RNAcentral